This is a long non-coding RNA of Carassius carassius (crucian carp), 750 nucleotides long. RefSeq lists it as uncharacterized. Lineage: Eukaryota; Metazoa; Chordata; Actinopteri; Cypriniformes; Cyprinidae. The transcript has 3 exons. The record is from RefSeq and is a predicted model, not a curated record.
CCCCCGCCCGAUAGAAAAGACUCAGAGUAAAAGAGGCAUUUGGAAACCAGUAAGUUUAGAAGACAGAAGAGAAUUCAUGUUUUCCAGACCAUUUCACCGGACUGAAUAGAGCUCACAGUGUUUGUGUGAGUCAUGUAAAAUCAAGAGAUUCUCCAUCCUAAGAGGAAUGUGAUCAACGAUCUUCAUCACCAGUCAAGUUAUGCCUGUGGACAAGAUUUUAGUAAAAUCUACAGUGUUCCCUGAGAUCUGCAUGGGAACCUUCUGUUACUGAGAGAGAUCAGAGAUCCCAGGUUCUGUUCAGACCCAGGUGUUUGAUAAACAUGAAGCUGGAAACUCAACACCACCUGAAGAGGGCAAGUUGAGGUCCACAUUCAUUCAGUCUGAGGGAGAGGACGGGGAUGAUUUACUGAAACUAUGACUACCUCAGACCUUGACGCAGACACCCAAACACACAGGCGUGAUGAAGACUCUGUCAACAUCUAGGUUUAGUUUUUUUUCAGCUGAGUUUUUAAUGGUGUAAAUGGAAAAACUUCAUAUGGCGGUACAGAUUACUACAGCUGCUUUUGCAUUCUUACAGAUGGCCACACAUUAAACAGGCAGAGCUUCCUCAAAUAGAGUAUAAAGAGCCAGUGUAUAUGCAGUUCAUCUGAUUGAAACAUUUCAUGGUUAUGUUAUUCCCCUGAGGAUAUGUUGUCCAGUUCUGUUAUAGGCCUCUCUAAUUGGCGGGUGAAUCUCACGAAUUUCUGAAUC